CGACACUCAAUUUCGCCCGGCAGUGCCGCCUGAAAAUAAAAACCAAAUUAAGUGUUCGCCCGAGGGGAAGUUUAAUUUUCUCCUCGGGCCAAACAAGCAUUGUAGUUUCGUUUGCAGGCGAUACUUCAAGGCGAAAUUAGUGGCAAACCGGAGUGAAAAGGAGCAAAAAUUUUUUGCUCCGGAGCAACAGGAAGUAACUUCCAUGUACUGGAACAAACCUAUUGAGUGUUUUCAAAAUAGGGAGGCAAAACUGCUUUCGAAAAAAAAAAACAAAAUUUUGUUUAUUGGAAUUAUUUAAUCAGCUCUCCAAUCACUAUGGUGCAUUGUCAUUUUAAGUAUGUCCCGCCACAGGAACCAAUCAACUCCGGUAGUAAUAAACUCCCAGAUGGGCCCAAUGUAUACUGGAAACUUGCAUUAGUGUUUUCGCAUAUAAACUUUUAAACUCCGAAAAUUUGCCCGAAGGAAAGCUUGGACUAGCCCUUAUGUUUGAAGGCCGAAUAUAGAAUAAUAUAUCGGACAUAAACCGUAUUAGCUAAUUAGUAGAACUUGGUACAAACAUGCAUAUAGCGGUAGUAAAGUCUACCAAUGGAAUUUGCUUCGAGAAUUACUCCUUUGGUAGAGUUACCGGACUCACAUGUGGACCCAACAAAAGCCAGCCUGAUAUCCAGGAUGUCCGUAGUAGGACAACCGAUUUAUCCCCAAGAUAACCCGAUAUCAAGCAUCGAAGUCAGUGAUUCUCCCAUUGUUCGAAUUUGAAACCAUUCCUCGAUCAAGUAUUCCACCACAUUGCAAAACACAUUAAGACUAAACGAGUGUUUGACAGUAUAUAAUCUAAUAAACCGUUCGAGUUCGAAAGAAUUGAUACGGAGCAAGACAUGCUAAUUUUGGUUACUAAUUAUUGUUCGUUGAAGGGAAAAAUUAGAAGCUUGGAAGUCGAGGCAGCUUCCUAAACGAUAGUAUAACGGCAAAACCAUCUGCCGGAACCGGAAAGCGUCAGGAAUUCAAAACAAGUUGAAAUUUUACAACGUGAUCAUCAGACUAAUAAAGAGAAAAAUCAAUAAAAUGU
Long non-coding RNA from Topomyia yanbarensis, 1066 nucleotides. RefSeq lists it as uncharacterized. The transcript has 3 exons. NCBI's taxonomy places the organism in Eukaryota, Metazoa, Arthropoda, Insecta, Diptera, Culicidae. The record is from RefSeq and is a predicted model, not a curated record.